Molecule: transfer RNA, 66 nt
Filed under: Bovichtus argentinus
Lineage: Eukaryota; Metazoa; Chordata; Actinopteri; Perciformes; Bovichtidae
Description: tRNA-Cys
Rfam family: tRNA
About the family: Transfer RNA (tRNA) molecules are approximately 80 nucleotides in length. Their secondary structure includes four short double-helical elements and three loops (D, anti-codon, and T loops). Further hydrogen bonds mediate the characteristic L-shaped molecular structure. tRNAs have two regions of fundamental functional importance: the anti-codon, which is responsible for specific mRNA codon recognition, and the 3' end, to which the tRNAs corresponding amino acid is attached (by aminoacyl-tRNA synthetases). tRNAs cope with the degeneracy of the genetic code in two manners: having more than one tRNA (with a specific anti-codon) for a particular amino acid; and 'wobble' base-pairing, i.e. permitting non-standard base-pairing at the 3rd anti-codon position.
Source: RNAcentral
GGCCCCGAGGUGUUGUUCAUACCAGGUUGCAAACCUGGAGAAGCGGAUUCAAGCCCGCCGGGUCCU